Molecule: ribosomal RNA, 253 nt
Filed under: uncultured bacterium
Lineage: Bacteria
Description: partial 16S ribosomal RNA
Rfam family: Bacterial small subunit ribosomal RNA
Source: RNAcentral
UACGUAGGGCGCAAGCGUUGUCCGGAAUCAUUGGGCGUAAAGCGCGUGUAGGCGGCUCGAUAAGUCUGCUGUGAAAGUCCAGGGCUCAACCCUGGGAUGCCGGUCGAUACUGCCGGACUAGAGUUCGGAAGAGGCGAGUGGAAUUCCCGGUGUAGCGGUGAAAUGCGUAGAUAUCUGGAGGAACACCGGUGGCGAAGGCGGCAUCCUGGACCGGCAUUGACGCUGAGGCGCGAAAGCCAGGGGAGCAAACGGG